RNAcentral lists this transfer RNA (75 nucleotides) under Methylacidimicrobium sp. AP8. RNAcentral describes it as "tRNA-Asn". It matches the Rfam family "tRNA". Rfam says of the family: Transfer RNA (tRNA) molecules are approximately 80 nucleotides in length. Their secondary structure includes four short double-helical elements and three loops (D, anti-codon, and T loops). Further hydrogen bonds mediate the characteristic L-shaped molecular structure. tRNAs have two regions of fundamental functional importance: the anti-codon, which is responsible for specific mRNA codon recognition, and the 3' end, to which the tRNAs corresponding amino acid is attached (by aminoacyl-tRNA synthetases). tRNAs cope with the degeneracy of the genetic code in two manners: having more than one tRNA (with a specific anti-codon) for a particular amino acid; and 'wobble' base-pairing, i.e. permitting non-standard base-pairing at the 3rd anti-codon position. The record is from RNAcentral. Lineage: Bacteria; Pseudomonadati; Verrucomicrobiota.
UCCGGAGUAGCUCAGCGGUAGAGCGAGCGGCUGUUAACCGCUUGGUCGUAGGUUCGAAUCCUACCUCCGGAGCCA